CCAGCAGCCGCGGUAAUACAGAGGGUGCAAGCGUUAAUCGGAAUUACUGGGCGUAAAGGGAGCGUAGGUGGCUCUAUAAGUCAGAUGUGAAAUCCCCGGGCUUAACCUGGGAACUGCAUCUGAAACUGUAGAGCUAGAGUAUGUGAGAGGAAGGUAGAAUUCCAGGUGUAGCGGUGAAAUGCGUAGAGAUCUGGAGGAAUACCGAUGGCGAAGGCAGCCUUCUGGCAUAAUACUGACACUGAGGCUCGAAAGCGUGGGUAGCAAACAGGAUUAGAUACCCUGGUAGUCCACGCCGUAAACGAUGUCUACUAGUCGUUGGGUCCCUUGAGGACUUAGUGACGCAGCUAACGCAAUAAGUAGACCGCCUGGGGAGUACGGCCGCAAGGUUAAAACUCAAAUGAAUUGACGGGGGCCCGCACAAGCGGUGGAGCAUGUGGUUUAAUUCGAUGCAACGCGAAGAACCUUACCUGGUCUUGACAUAUCUAGAAUCCUGCAGAGAUGCGGGAGUGCCUUCGGGAAUUAGAAUACAGGUGCUGCAUGGCUGUCGUCAGCUCGUGUCGUGAGAUGUUGGGUUAAGUCCCGCAACGAGCGCAACCCUUGUCCUUAGUUACCAGCGGGUUAAGCCGGGAACUCUAAGGAUACUGCCAGUGACAAACUGGAGGAAGGCGGGGACGACGUCAAGUCAUCAUGGCCCUUACGACCAGGGCUACACACGUGCUACAAUGGUAGGUACAGAGGGCAGCUACACAGCGAUGUGAUGCGAAUCUCAAAAAGCCUAUCGUAGUCCAGAUUGGAGUCUGCAACUCGACUCCAUGAAGUAGGAAUCGCUAGUAAUCGCGGAUCAGAAUGCCGCGGUGAAUACGUUCCCGGGCCUUGUACACACCGCCCGUCACACCAUGGGAGUUGAUUGCACCAGAAGUGGAUAGCUUAACCUUCGGGGGAGC
Molecule: ribosomal RNA, 944 nt
Filed under: Psychrobacter sp. 27F07-MB1-2
Lineage: Bacteria; Pseudomonadati; Pseudomonadota; Gammaproteobacteria; Moraxellales; Moraxellaceae
Description: bacterial SSU rRNA
Rfam family: Bacterial small subunit ribosomal RNA
Source: RNAcentral